RNAcentral lists this ribosomal RNA (253 nucleotides) under uncultured bacterium. Its description in RNAcentral is "partial 16S ribosomal RNA". It matches the Rfam family "Bacterial small subunit ribosomal RNA", at positions 524 to 776 of the family's 1533-position model. The record is from RNAcentral.
UACGGAGGGUGCGAGCGUUGUCCGGAAUCACUGGGCGUAAAGGGCGCGUAGGUGGCGCGGGCAGUCAACGGUGAAAGUUCGGGGCUCAACCCUGAAUCGGCCGUCGAUACUCCCGGGCUUGAGCACUGUAGAGGCGGAUGGAAUUCCGGGUGUAGCGGUGGAAUGCGUAGAGAUCCGGAAGAACACCGGUGGCGAAGGCGGUCUGCUGGGCAGUAGCUGACACUGAGGCGCGACAGCGUGGGGAGCAAACAGG